This 215-nucleotide long non-coding RNA is filed under the name Vigna radiata. Its description in RNAcentral is "long non-coding RNA (VRAD_LNC017018)". Lineage: Eukaryota; Viridiplantae; Streptophyta; Magnoliopsida; Fabales; Fabaceae. The record is from RNAcentral.
CUCAAGGAAACAAGAUAAAACUUAGCUUUCCACUUUUUCAUCAAAAUAAUUCAACAAUCCCAAAAUUCAUUCUUCUCACAACAAGUAAUUACUCAAUUCAGAUUUUCAGUGGUAUUUUAUCAAGAUGCAUACAUGCUUUGUAUUCAAUUCAGUUCACAUGAUCACAUAUUUCCCAAUAGAUGUUUUACUUAUGAAUGAUCAAUCAACUAAGCAUA